UGAUAGAUGUUCUCCUGAAGAAGAAUCACAAU
Molecule: non-coding RNA, 32 nt
Filed under: Mus musculus (house mouse)
Lineage: Eukaryota; Metazoa; Chordata; Mammalia; Rodentia; Muridae
Source: RNAcentral